Peromyscus maniculatus bairdii (prairie deer mouse) is the source of this 342-nucleotide non-coding RNA. Lineage: Eukaryota; Metazoa; Chordata; Mammalia; Rodentia; Cricetidae. The record is from RefSeq and is a predicted model, not a curated record.
AUGAAACGGAGCUGGAUCUUCCUCUUGCUGGUGGCAGCAGUUACAGGUGUACACUCCCACGUCCAGCUGCAGUAGUCUGUGGCUGAGUUCUGGAAACCUGGGGCCUCAGUGAAGUUGUCCUGCAAGGCUUCUGGCUACACCUUCACCAGCUACUACAUUACCUGGGUGAAACAGAGGCCUGGACAGGGCCUGGAGUGGAUUGGAUGGAUUUAUCCUGGAAAUGGUGAAACUAACUACAAUCAGAAGUUCAAGGGCAAGAUCACACUGACUGCAUACAAAUCCUCCAGCACAGCCUACAUGGAGCUCAGCAGUCUGACAUCUGAGGACUCUGCAGUCUAUUAA